Molecule: ribosomal RNA, 253 nt
Filed under: uncultured bacterium
Lineage: Bacteria
Description: partial 16S ribosomal RNA
Rfam family: Bacterial small subunit ribosomal RNA
Source: RNAcentral
UACGGAGGGUGCAAGCGUUGUCCGGAAUUACUGGGCGUAAAGCGUGCGCAGGCGGUUGUGCAAGACAGAUGUGAAAUCCCCGGGCUCAACCUGGGAAUUGCAUUUGUGACUGCACGGCUAGAGUGUGUCAGAGGGGGGUAGAAUUCCACGUGUAGCAGUGAAAUGCGUAGAGAUGUGGAGGAAUACCGAUGGCGAAGGCAGCCCCCUGGGAUAACACUGACGCUCAUGCACGAAAGCGUGGGGAGCAAACAGG